GUACACGAGCGGCGAACGGGUGAGUAACACGUGAGCAACCUACCCUCAACUUCGGGAUAAGCCUCGGAAACGGGGUCUAAUACCGGAUAUCACUACCGUCCUCAUGGUUGGUGGUUGAAAGUUCUGGCGGUUGGGGAUGGGCUCGCGGCCUAUCAGCUUGUUGGUGGGGUAAUGGCCUACCAAGGCGUCGACGGGUAGCCGGCCUGAGAGGGCGACCGGCCACACUGGGACUGAGACACGGCCCAGACUCCUACGGGAGGCAGCAGUGGGGAAUAUUGCGCAAUGGACGAAAGUCUGACGCAGCAACGCCGCGUGAGGGAUGACGGCCUUCGGGUUGUAAACCUCUUUCAGCAGGGACGAAGCGAGAGUGACGGUACCUGCAGAAGAAGGACCGGCCAACUACGUGCCAGCAGCCGCGGUAAUACGUAGGGUCCGAGCGUUGUCCGGAAUUAUUGGGCGUAAAGGGCUCGUAGGCGGUUCGUCACGUCGGGAGUGAAAACUCGGAGCUCAACUCCGAGCCUGCUUCCGAUACGGGCAGACUAGAGGUAGGCAGGGGAGAGCGGAACUCCUGGUGUAGCGGUGGAAUGCGCAGAUAUCAGGAAGAACACCGGUGGCGAAGGCGGCUCUCUGGGCCUUACCUGACGCUGAGGAGCGAAAGCGUGGGUAGCGAACAGGAUUAGAUAC
RNAcentral lists this ribosomal RNA (684 nucleotides) under Kribbella sp. Its description in RNAcentral is "bacterial SSU rRNA". It matches the Rfam family "Bacterial small subunit ribosomal RNA", at positions 87 to 785 of the family's 1533-position model. Lineage: Bacteria; Bacillati; Actinomycetota; Actinomycetes; Propionibacteriales; Kribbellaceae. The record is from RNAcentral.